RNAcentral lists this ribosomal RNA (477 nucleotides) under uncultured bacterium. RNAcentral's name for it is "partial 16S ribosomal RNA". It matches the Rfam family "Bacterial small subunit ribosomal RNA", at positions 30 to 507 of the family's 1533-position model. The record is from RNAcentral.
AUGAACGCUGGCGGCGUGCCUAACCCAUGCAAGUCGAACGGAGUCCAGCCUUUAAGACCUUCGGGUCAAAGAGGGGAAGACUGAGUGGCGGACGGGUGAGUAACACGUGGGCAACCUGGCUCAUAGAGGGGGAUAACAGAGAGAAAUUUCUGCUAAUACCGCAUAAGCACACACUGCCGCAUGGCAGAGGGUGAAAAGAGAAUCGCUAUGAGAUGGACCCGCGUCUGAUUAGCCAGUUGGCAGGGUAAGAGCCUACCAAAGCGACGAUCAGUAGCCGAUCUGAGGGGAUGAACGGCCACAUUGGGACUGAGACACGGCCCAAACUCCUACGGGAGGCAGCAGUGGGGGAUAUUGCACAAUGGGGGGAACCCUGAUGCAGCGACGCCGCGUGAGUGAAGAAGUAUUUCGGUAUGUAAAGCUCUAUCAGCAGGGAAGAUAAUGACAGUACCUGAAGAAGAAGCCCCGGCUAACUACGUG